RNAcentral lists this ribosomal RNA (894 nucleotides) under Amnibacterium sp. Pao57. RNAcentral describes it as "bacterial SSU rRNA". It matches the Rfam family "Bacterial small subunit ribosomal RNA", at positions 66 to 973 of the family's 1533-position model. Lineage: Bacteria; Bacillati; Actinomycetota; Actinomycetes; Micrococcales; Microbacteriaceae. The record is from RNAcentral.
ACGGUGAUGCAGAGCUUGCUCUGCGGAUCAGUGGCGAACGGGUGAGCUAUUACGUGAGUAACCUGCCCUUGACUCUGGGAUAAGCGUUGGAAACUACGUCUAAUACCGGAUACGACCCGUGGAGGCAUCUCCUACGGGUGGAAAGAACUUCGGUUGAGGAUGGACUCGCGGCCUAUCAGCUUGUUGGUGAGGUAAUGGCUCACCAAGGCGACGACGGGUAGCCGGCCUGAGAGGGUGACCGGCCACACUGGGACUGAGACACGGCCCAGACUCCUACGGGAGGCAGCAGUGGGGAAUAUUGCACAAUGGGCGCAAGCCUGAUGCAGCAACGCCGCGUGAGGGAUGACGGCCUUCGGGUUGUAAACCUCUUUUGGCAGGGAAGAAGCGAAAGUGACGGUACCUGCAGAAAAAGCACCGGCUAACUACGUGCCAGCAGCCGCGGUAAUACGUAGGGUGCAAGCGUUGUCCGGAAUUAUUGGGCGUAAAGAGCUCGUAGGCGGUUUGUCGCGUCUGCUGUGAAAACGCAAGGCUCAACCUUGCGCCUGCAGUGGGUACGGGCAGACUAGAGUGUGGUAGGGGAGAUUGGAAUUCCUGGUGUAGCGGUGGAAUGCGCAGAUAUCAGGAGGAACACCGAUGGCGAAGGCAGAUCUCUGGGCCAUUACUGACGCUGAGGAGCGAAAGCGUGGGGAGCGAACAGGAUUAGAUACCCUGGUAGUCCACGCCGUAAACGUUGGGAACUAGAUGUGGGGUCCAUUCCACGGAUUCCGUGUCGCAGCUAACGCAUUAAGUUCCCCGCCUGGGGAGUACGGCCGCAGGGCUAAAACUCAGAGGAAUUGACGGGGGCCCGCAAAAGCGGCGGAGCAUGCGGAUAAUUCGAUGCACGCGAAGACCUUA